GAUGAACGCUGACAGAAUGCUUAACACAUGCAAGUCAACUUGAACUUCGGUUUGGGUGGCGGACGGGUGAGUAACGCGUAAAGAACUUGCCUCACAGAUAGGGACAACAUUUGGAAACGAAUGCUAAUACCUGAUAUUAUGAUUAUAUGGCAUCGUAUAAUUAUGAAAGCUAUAUGCGCUGUGAGAGAGCUUUGCGUCCCAUUAGCUAGUUGGAGAGGUAACGGCUCACCAAGGCGAUGAUGGGUAGCCGGCCUGAGAGGGUGAUCGGCCACAAGGGGACUGAGACACGGCCCUUACUCCUACGGGAGGCAGCAGUGGGGAAUAUUGGACAAUGGACCAAGAGUCUGAUCAAGCAAUUCUGUGUGCACGAUGAAGUUUUUCGGAAUGUAAAGUGCUUUCAGUUGGGAAGAAAAAAAUGACGGUACCAACAGAAGAAGUGACGGCUAAAUACGUG
RNAcentral lists this ribosomal RNA (454 nucleotides) under uncultured bacterium. RNAcentral's name for it is "partial 16S ribosomal RNA". It matches the Rfam family "Bacterial small subunit ribosomal RNA", at positions 28 to 507 of the family's 1533-position model. The record is from RNAcentral.